UACGUAGGUGGCGAGCGUUAUCCGGAAUCAUUGGGCGUAAAGAGGGAGCAGGCGGCCGCAAGGGUCUGUGGUGAAAGACCGAAGCUAAACUUCGGUAAGCCAUGGAAACCGGGCGGCUAGAGUGCGGAAGAGGAUCGUGGAAUUCCAUGUGUAGUGGUGAAAUGCGUAGAUAUAUGGAGGAACACCAGUGGCGAAGGCGACGGUCUGGGCCGCAACUGACGCUCAUUCCCGAAAGCGUGGGGAGCAAAUAGG
This 252-nucleotide ribosomal RNA is filed under the name Catenibacterium mitsuokai DSM 15897. RNAcentral's name for it is "partial 16S ribosomal RNA". It matches the Rfam family "Bacterial small subunit ribosomal RNA", at positions 524 to 776 of the family's 1533-position model. The record is from RNAcentral. Lineage: Bacteria; Bacillati; Bacillota; Erysipelotrichia; Erysipelotrichales; Coprobacillaceae.